GUGGAAAGCUGCUACGGCAGUACUGACAGAGGAGCCCGCGGCGCAUUAGCUAGUUGGUGGGGUAACGGCUCACCAAGGCGACGAUGCGUAGCCGACCUGAGAGGGUGACCGGCCACACUGGGACUGAGACACGGCCCAGACUCCUACGGGAGGCAGCAGUAGGGAAUCUUCCGCAAUGGGCGCAAGCCUGACGGAGCAACGCCGCGUGAGCGAAGAAGGCCUUCGGGUUGUAAAGCUCAGUCAUUCGGGAAGAGCGGACGGGAGAGGGAAUGCUCCUGUCGAGACGGUACCGGAAGAGGAAGCCCCGGCUAACUACGUG
Molecule: ribosomal RNA, 319 nt
Filed under: uncultured bacterium
Lineage: Bacteria
Description: bacterial SSU rRNA
Rfam family: Bacterial small subunit ribosomal RNA
Source: RNAcentral